This 279-nucleotide unclassified non-coding RNA is filed under the name plant metagenome. RNAcentral describes it as "partial contains small subunit ribosomal RNA, internal transcribed spacer 1, and 5.8S ribosomal RNA". The record is from RNAcentral.
UUUCCGUAGGUGAACCUGCGGAAGGAUCAUUAACGUAUCUCUAACGUCGAAGCUGUUCUCCACUCCGGACCGAGAGGCCGUGCAGCGGGCGAGCGCGAGCCGCUCAACCUUUGCAGACCCCACUGUGCAGUUUCGUCGGCAAAGGGCCCUCAGGGCCCCGACCCGGACCACAAACACUACUUUACAAAACGAUCUGUGACCGCAAUGCCUCCUAAACUUUAACAACUUUUCACAACGGAUCUGUUGGACCUAGCAUCGAGGAAGAACGCAGCAGAUACG